Rhea pennata is the source of this 6152-nucleotide RNA transcript. It is a transcript of the gene named ectodermal-neural cortex 1, with no coding region annotated. The transcript has 4 exons. The record is from RefSeq and is a predicted model, not a curated record. NCBI's taxonomy places the organism in Eukaryota, Metazoa, Chordata, Aves, Rheiformes, Rheidae.
UCUCGGGGCCGCUUAGCCGCGCCGCGCCGAGCCGGCAGCCGUGCUGCCUUCCCAUGCGCGGCGCUGCGCCGCCCGCGGAGGCACAGGGGCGUCCGCGCUUAGCCGGGAGCUUCAGCUGUGUGGAAGAAAAUGUCAGUCAGCAUGCAUGAGAAUCGCAAAUCUAGGGCUAGUACUGGCUCUAUAAACAUAUAUUUAUUCCAUAAAUCAUCCUAUGCUGAUAGUGUCCUUACUCACCUGAACCUUCUGCGUCAACAGCGUCUUUUUACAGAUGUGCUUCUUCAUGCUGGGAACAGGUCAUUCCCCUGCCACAGAGCUGUUCUGGCUGCUUGCAGCCGCUAUUUUGAAGCAAUGUUCAGUGGAGGAUUGAAAGAGAGCCAGGACAGUGAAGUCAACUUCCAUAAUUCCAUUCACCCAGAAGUCUUAGAGCUUCUUCUUGACUAUGCAUAUUCUUCCAGGGUUAUAAUCAAUGAGGAGAAUGCAGAGUCGCUGCUGGAGGCUGGCGACAUGCUAGAGUUCCAAGACAUUCGGGAUGCUUGUGCAGAAUUUCUAGAGAAAAACCUUCAUCCUACUAACUGUCUCGGCAUGCUGCUGCUGUCAGAUGCUCACCAGUGCACCAAGCUUUAUGAACUCUCUUGGAGGAUGUGCCUUAGCAACUUCCAGAGCAUCAGUAAAAGUGAAGACUUCCUCCAGCUGCCGAAAGACAUGGUAGUGCAGCUUCUUUCCAGUGAAGAAUUAGAAACUGAAGAUGAAAGGCUGGUAUAUGAGUCAGCUAUCAACUGGGUCAGCUAUGACCUGAGUAAGCGUCACUGUUAUCUGCCUGAGCUAUUGCAGACAGUCAGACUGGCUCUCUUGCCAGCCAUAUACCUUAUGGAGAAUGUAGCAAUGGAAGAACUUAUCACCAAGCAAAGGAAAAGCAAAGAAAUUGUAGAAGAAUCCAUAAGAUGCAAGUUAAAGAUCUUACAGAAUGAUGGAGUUGUCACUAGUUUGUGUGCCAGACCCCGUAAAACUGGCCAUUCGCUCUUUCUUUUAGGUGGCCAAACCUUUAUGUGUGACAAGCUAUAUUUGGUGGACCAAAAGGCAAAGGAAAUCAUUCCAAAGGCUGACAUUCCAAGUCCACGGAAAGAGUUCAGCGCUUGUGCCAUAGGCUGCAAAGUGUAUAUCACGGGAGGACGUGGAUCAGAAAAUGGAGUCUCCAAAGAUGUAUGGGUGUAUGACACUCUUCAUGAGGAGUGGUCAAAGGCUGCUCCCAUGCUGGUAGCUAGAUUUGGGCACGGGUCUGCUGAACUCAAGCACUGUUUGUAUGUAGUAGGAGGACACACUGCAGCAACUGGCUGCCUUCCUGCUUCCCCUUCAGUAUCCUUAAAGCAAGUAGAACAAUAUGACCCUGUGACCAAUAAAUGGACCAUGGUUGCUCCACUCCGAGAGGGAGUAAGCAAUGCAGCAGUAGUCAGUGCAAAGCUUAAGCUGUUUGCUUUUGGGGGUACCAGCGUUAGCCAUGACAAGCUGCCCAAAGUUCAAUGUUAUGAUCAGUGUGAAAACAGAUGGACAGUACCAGCUACCUGCCCCCAGCCCUGGCGCUACACAGCUGCAGCUGUUCUGGGUAACCAGAUUUUUAUUAUGGGUGGAGAUACUGAAUUCUCUGCAUGCUCUGCUUAUAAAUUCAACAGUGAGACAUACCAGUGGACUAAGGUGGGAGAUGUGACAGCUAAGCGAAUGAGCUGCCAUGCAGUGGCAUCUGGAAACAAAUUGUAUGUUGUUGGAGGCUACUUUGGCAUUCAGAGAUGCAAAACAUUAGACUGUUAUGAUCCCACGUUAGAUGUGUGGAACAGUAUAACAACUGUGCCCUAUUCAUUAAUUCCGACGGCAUUUGUCAGCACAUGGAAGCACCUCCCCUCAUAAUAGUGUGUAUAUUGCAAUUACGAAUUAUCAGAUUUACUCUUAUGGAAUCCACAGCCCUGCUUUCAUACAACCUUAAGCCCUUGAGACUUACCAUAUCCGGAGUGCUGGGGAGUAAUCACAUCUCCCUGAUAGAGAGCAAAUAGAAGCCUUGAUUUCUUUGAGAUGACUUCCUCACUAGCUGGGAACGACAUCUUUAAAUCUUCAGUCAAUUUCUGUUAUUACUCACUUUCAGCAGUUCUCAGUGUUAUCAGAACAGUAGUAUUGAAUGCUCAGACUCAGGUCUGUGCCAAGAAAAAUAUUGACUUAUUCUUCUGAGACUGGCUUAAUUGUUCUAGGGUUUACAGUACAUGAGACAGUGUUUUAUUUUGAAAAAUAGUCCUCAGAGUAUAACAGUGCAAAAAACUUUCAUUUGCUUUGCUGUAUCUCGUUAAACAUCAUUAUUUUAGCUUCAUUAACACUCUAGAUAACUGGAUGAAAGCAACCGUAAAGUGAAGUCUCUCCAGUGCUGUGUGCUCAUCCAGAAAGUAGGAUGUUUUUUUUUUCUGUGACUCCUGCUGCUUUGUCAGUGGGUGGGAGGGACAAAAAGGAAAUUACUUCUGAUUACCGUCUGUUUUCAUGGCGUUGUGUGGCCCCAGUCUGACAGCUUUUAGGAAGACUUUAGUCUGCUUUGUCAUUUUCCUUAAACUUGGGGCUUUUGAGUAGAUUGAGGAUUUUUUUUCUUCCUCCUUGGAACUGUUAUAACUUUUUUUUUCAAGCUCAUCCAGUGACAGGAAACAUUGUUUUGGCUUCAGUGUUGAUAUGUACAUUUUAGUGGGGAAAAAUGAUGUGCUACCCUGAAGAAUGUCUAGAAAAGACUAAUCAACACUAAAUACAGAAAACUUUUUUGGAAGUAAUGAAGAUGGUCUGUUUUCAAACCCACAAUUGCAGAGACUUGAUACUUUAGACUGUUACAUAGGCUGCUGUGUUUCCUGUGAAUGUUCCCUGUUGUUCUUAGACAUCACAGCUUGAAAGAUAUGUGUUAUACUCCAUUAUUUGGAGAAGAAAAUUGGAACCUCAAAUCUGGAGAAACGGUUUUAAUGAAGAAAAAUCGUUCAGUGUCUUUUGCAUUUGAAGAAAAUCAUCUGCACCUUGUAAAUUAUCUAACCUAGACAUGAAGGAACGGGAAGAAAAAGCUAUCUUCAGUGCUUCAGCACAUAGUUUAAAUAUGAAUGAAUGAACUUAUGAUCUGGUCCUUGUGCUAGUAAUUGUGUAUUAAUGCCAAUAUUAAUCAGUCUUUCAGAGGAGAAAAGACAACUUCUCUGAGCUGUACAGCACACAACUCUUGAUUUUCAUGGACUCCACUGUUUGUGUGUGAAAUUUGAAAUGGUUGUCACUUCUCUUUGUGAUGGUUUGAAGUGCCAGUACCAGCUGCAAGGGAAGCAGGCCAGGUCUGGAGCAGUGAGAUGUUGCUGUGAAUGAAGAUGCAGCGGUAUUUCUGCAGAACUCUGCUUAAUCGAGUGAGCUUGACUGUGGGCAAUGCCUACAGCAGCCUUUAGAUGCCUGUGUUGUAUUGUUCUGUGUGCAGUGAGUAACCUGAUUGAUAAGGAACAACACAGUGGUGAAAUGUUUUUGCAACAGUGGAGAACAAAACGGAUGUCCUCCAAAUGCUUAUUGUUUCUUUUCCUCCCUGUAUUUAUAAGUAAUUCAGACUGUCCCAUUCUUGUUAUGUUACUUGUUGUAGAUAUAGUUAUUUAUUGUUCAGUGCUUGCAUGCUGAAACAAUGCCUGCAAUUGUCUUCAUGUGAUUGGGGCUUGUGUGAAUUGUUGUACGUUUUGCACGUUUUGUGAUCGCUGACUUGCUCUGCUGCACAAAGAAAGAAAAGUGAGUAACAGUUGGAGGUGGGAGGGAGGGGUGACUUCCCAGUCGGAAAUGGAAGGAUUACAAGGCAGGAUCUUAAAUUACACACAUACUAACUAAAGGAAGAAGCCAUGGAGGUCACUUUCUCAGGCCACCAGCUCCCCAGGUUGCAUGUUGUGCAUCUUGUAGAUGGUGUCCCCACUACAUUUCAUUUGCUGGUCAUGCCUUUGAAUUCCUAGUCUGGAAAUAGCCCAAAUCACUUACAACUCUCUCUUUGUGCAGCUUCCUGAUUGCAACACAAAUACUGUGGAAUAGCUUCUGGAUACCAAGCCCAGAUGAAGUCAUUGUCCAAAGUUAUUUAUUUAUUUAUUGGGUUAAAGGGCAGGGUACUUACAGUAUAGCCACAUUGACCUAAAUGAGUAGAGUAUGGCUGAUUCAAGAAUAAAACCAGAACAUUUAAGACAGGUUAGUGAUGAAGUUUUAAAAGGGAAAAAAAGUGGAACAACAAUUUUGCACUGACUGAGUGCUCAUCACUCUUUCAGAAGGGCAGCUGAGUGGGGAGAUGUCAAAGAUCCAAGCACUCUAGUAAAAUGAGGAUAGAAAAUUAAUUUCAGAACUCUUAACCUUAAAUAGUCCUCAAACUCUGCUGCCUCUUAUUUUCCAUAGCCAGGUAUGUCUUUAAACAUUUGGGUGCUCAGUAGUGCCAGACUUAAUUUUAUAAACAAAUUUCUUUAUUUUUAUCAGUCUAGUCUUGAGAUAGGUGUGAAGCUACUCUUUUUUCCUCUGGAUUUCAGAAGCUUAUGUUUCACAGAUGCCUUCUUUGCCAGAUUCUGUUAUGAAGCAUGUAUUGUAUUGUUUUUUUUUUUUGUUUUUUUUUCCUCGGUGUUUAUAGAGCCCAAUUUAACUGGUGCAUUCAGUACCAUGUUGGUGUAUGCCAAAGUAUAAGUAAAACGUUUGCAUGGGUGCAUGCAAAACAGAAAUAGUCACAUUGGUGAUGCUUGCCUUUCUCUAUGUGACAGUGAUGUAGCUGUAUUUGUGAAGACUUUAUCAUCUGAAAGUAUUAACCCUGGUCAAUGAAAAUUUUCUUAUACUGCCUUAUGUUCGACUUGCUGUUUGGAGUAGAUGGACCCUUACAUUUCAGAAAUAGAAUAUCUGAGAGAGCAUUGCUUAAUUAUUAAAGUCAAUGGCUUUUUAAGGGUAAGGCCCAGCUAGAUGUGAACCGUUACAAUUAUAGUUCUUCUGGUUAAAUUGGUCUGCUGAAAGAAUAGUGGUUUUUGGGUUUUUUUUUUUUUUUUUUUUUUUUUUUUUAAGUGUUGAAACUCACAGCAUUCUCCUCUGAAUCGGCUCUUUUCUCUUAUAUGGCUUUUAAGCAACAGAAAAAUACCUUAGAAUAGAUCUCUUUCUAUAACCCUUUAGUUGCACAGGUUGUCCUGUUGAAAUAAACAGGAUUGAAUUCUUGUUACUUUUGAUCUUGUGGAUCACUCCUGUGAAUGCAAAGUGAGCCAUAAAGUCAGACUUCCUGUGUUUUGCAUGUUCUCUCCCCAGGCAUAAGUCACUGCAUGAGGUACAAGGAAGUGAAGAACCAGGUCCCAAGGGGACCCCUUGCUUGAAUAAGGGCAUGUUUUCUCCAUCAAAUUGAUUAGACUCCUGACAUGAAGCUGCACUGUGUCUAUUUAGCUUACUGCACAAUUCUGUUUUGUAGCACCAUGAAACUUCUGAAAGUGGGAUGAAUUUUCUGCAUCUAUUUCCAAAGUUAUGGUCUGCUUUCAAGUCCUCAGUUAAUUCCCAUAUGUAUGCUGAAGGAAGCUGAAGUCAGGGUAGGCCUCUGGCUCUGCGGGGAAUAUGCCGGGCUCUUGCUUUUUGAAUUGAUGUGGGAAUCCUGGCUAGCUACUUGACCAUUCCAGUCCUGCAAAACACCCCACACUUUGAAGCAAAUGCAAUUCACAGCGGAGUGCACACAAAAACCUUGGCAUAAGAUGAGAAGGUUCCUCUUAUUUUGCAGGCUGGUUGCUGUAGAAACAUAUAACAAAGGACAGCCUUCCUCUUCUGGUAUAAUUGUGUAGCCCCUUUUCUCUAGGUCUGACACCUGUCUGAAUAAGAGUGAUUAGAGCAGAAUAAUGUUCUCUUUCCUGGCUGUUGAAGAUGUGAUUCACGUACUAAAAGAAACUGUACAAGUGAAGAAGUAAAAUGUCUGUGUUAUGUGUUUUUGUUUGCUACUCCAUCUUAAGGUUUUGUAAAACUUGCAAUUUUUUUUUCACAAUGUGAAACUGAAGGUCAAUAAAUUAUUAGAGAUUUUCUCUUUGGAUCAUUUCUUUUAAAGGUUGUCUCUGUUCCUCCACUCCACUUCCCCCCGCAGAAAUGUUUUAAAUCCUUUAUAAGGUCAUUUUCCUGUUCUUUUUAUUAAAAGACAUCAACAA